RNAcentral lists this ribosomal RNA (253 nucleotides) under uncultured bacterium. RNAcentral's name for it is "partial 16S ribosomal RNA". It matches the Rfam family "Bacterial small subunit ribosomal RNA", at positions 524 to 776 of the family's 1533-position model. The record is from RNAcentral.
UACGUAGGGUCCGAGCGUUGUCCGGAAUUAUUGGGCGUAAAGGGCUCGUAGGCGGUUUGUCGCGUCGGGAGUGAAAACUCAGGGCUCAACCCUGAGCGUGCUUCCGAUACGGGCAGACUAGAGGUAUGCAGGGGAGAACGGAAUUCCUGGUGUAGCGGUGGAAUGCGCAGAUAUCAGGAGGAACACCGGUGGCGAAGGCGGGUCUCUGGGCCGUAACUGACGCUGAGGAGCGAAAGCAUGGGGAGCGAACAGG